This is a non-coding RNA of Scomber japonicus (chub mackerel), 495 nucleotides long. The record is from the annotation of a RefSeq genome assembly. NCBI's taxonomy places the organism in Eukaryota, Metazoa, Chordata, Actinopteri, Scombriformes, Scombridae.
AUGCUGCUUGUGGUUUCUGCUGUGUUGACUGACAGAUCUGAGUCCUGCAUGCAGGAGGUUUUUGUACGGCCACUUAAUGAGUUUGUAUCACUGUGGUGGACUUUUGGUGGAGGAACCAAACUCACCGUUGACUUGGGUGUGGUGCGGCCCACCCUGACCGUCCUCCCCCCCUCCAAAGAGGAGGUGCAGCAGGGCAGUGCCACAGUGCUGUGUCUGGCCAGCGGGGGCUCUCCCUCAACCUGGAGGCUGGACUGGAAGGUGGGGGGCAGCAGCAGCAGCUCCUCAGAGGUGUCACACAGCCCGGAGGUCCUGGGGAGGGACGGCCACUACAGCUGGAGCAGCACCCUGAGCCUCUCUGCAGACCGCUGGAGGAAGGCGGGCUCAGUGAGCUGUGAGGCCAGUCUGAAUGGACAGACCCCUGUCACUCAAAGCCUGGACCCUGACCACUGCUCAGAGUAGAGCUUCAGCAACACUUCCUGUCUGGAAAUGAUGCUU